UACGUAGGGUGCGAGCGUUACUCGGAAUUACUGGGCGUAAAGUGUGCGCAGGUGGCUUCGCAAGUCGAGUGUGAAAUCCCCGGGCUUAACCUGGGAAUUGCGCUCGAAACUACGGAGCUGGAGUAUGGCAGAGGGAGGUGGAAUUCCACGUGUAGCGGUGAAAUGCGUAGAGAUGUGGAGGAACACCAAUGGCGAAGGCAGCCUCCUGGGCCAAUACUGACACUCAUGCACGAAAGCGUGGGGAGCAAACAGG
RNAcentral lists this ribosomal RNA (253 nucleotides) under uncultured bacterium. Its description in RNAcentral is "partial 16S ribosomal RNA". It matches the Rfam family "Bacterial small subunit ribosomal RNA", at positions 524 to 776 of the family's 1533-position model. The record is from RNAcentral.